AAGAGAAAGAAAUCACUGCCUGCAGGCAACCUGUACUUCACUGCUGUACUUUAUGAUUUAGAACAUAGCGGCGAUGAUCUGAUAACUCAGUCCAAUUCAAAAAUGCUCUUCUCUUUAAGACUUUUUCAGGCAGUUGUCGCUGUCCCUCAUAUCAUCUCACCACUUCUGUUUUUAUAAGGAAAUCUACUUCACCAUGUCACACAGAGAACCAAUCUUAAUGCAUGUUCAAAUAAUAACUCAGUCAUGUGUUAAAGUGCUCAAAGUAAAGGUGGUGUAUGCUAACCAAUUGAAGCAGGCUGAGUCAUGCUGUUUUUUUUUUUUUCUGGGUUUCCCCCCUCUCUGAUCCUCUGCUCCUCCCCCCUCUGGUCUAGGAGCAGGCUCAAACAACCAGACCCGGCUGUUGGUGGCGUGUUGGAACAUGCCUUGACUUGUUGUACUGCCUGAGUCAGGCAGAGAUAGAGACAGCCACAUAGAGAAAGGAAGAGAGUGAGAAGAUGCUUGUGGUCAACAGUUUGCCAGUGUGAAGUGACCCACACAAAGAGAAAUGCCUGCUGCACCAUGGACAGACUCCUGUUGAUGUCAACAACAAAGUGCACUCCCUGGAGAAGAGUGUGGAUGGAGGAGCUCUACUGCUGCCUCGCUGCUUGAGCUUUUGGCUGUUGGCAUGGGACCACGCCACCCCCCCAGGGGCUUUUAGUGCGAGGCCAUUGCCGUCCAACUACCAUGUCCACCAGGAAGCUGGGCAUGAAAAGUGUGAGUGUCCGUAUUGCCAGACUCACAGGUGGAAGUAUACAACAAAUACCAACCAGGCCCAGGAUCCGGCUCAGGAAAGGGAGGCUGUGGGGCAGGAAGAGAGGCAGGCGGAGGGACAGGCGGAGGGACAGGCGGUUGGACGCGGCUGCUGUGGGUGUUUCUUUGGCAGUGUCUUAGCUGGUUGUUGUGAGGAGUGAGAACGAAGCAAUCAGCAAGUAUACUGCCGCAGAAAUUCUUCGCAAUAGAGGCCCUGGGAUCAGCCAUCACGAGAGGGAGGACAAGAUGCAUAUCAGCAUUGUAGCAAACAUGGAUCCUGCUGCUACUGUAAGUUUUUACAUGUUUUUGGACAAUGAAAUUGACAACAGCUGAGGACCUGAUAAAGAAUUAACUGAAGAUAGAUCACCUGGCCUUUUUCUUAACAGCCUCCACAAUAUUUAUGAUUGGAUCAAAGCAUCAAACGUUUUCACAAUAUGUUGUACUUUUGUGGUCCUCUGCUGCCAUCGUGUGAAUGAAAGCAACCUCCCAGCAUGCUUUUGGCCAUUUAACACUGCAGCAAUUUUUA
Molecule: long non-coding RNA, 1315 nt
Organism: Etheostoma cragini (Arkansas darter)
Lineage: Eukaryota; Metazoa; Chordata; Actinopteri; Perciformes; Percidae
Exons: 2
Source: RefSeq, a predicted model, not a curated record